GUUAGGGUGGCAGAGCCCGGAUAUUGCAAAAGGUCUAAGCCCUUUCUAUAGAGGUUCAAAUCCUCUCCUUAACU
This 74-nucleotide transfer RNA is filed under the name Fundulus lima (killifish). RNAcentral describes it as "tRNA-Leu". It matches the Rfam family "tRNA". Rfam says of the family: Transfer RNA (tRNA) molecules are approximately 80 nucleotides in length. The record is from RNAcentral. Lineage: Eukaryota; Metazoa; Chordata; Actinopteri; Cyprinodontiformes; Fundulidae.